AAGAGGGACUGAAAUAAAUCUGGGACAAAUAUUCAGAUUUAUCUUUGUGUUUGCAGUGAGGACUCAGAAGACAAAGAUGUGAAGACCAAGAAAGAUGAUUCACACUCAGCAGAUGAGGAUUUUGGCAGUGAGGAUGAUGAUGUAGGAGCCGAUGAUGGCAAAGCCGACAGCGACUACGAGAGCUCCCAAAAAAGCAAAAA
Molecule: non-coding RNA, 200 nt
Organism: Zonotrichia albicollis (white-throated sparrow)
Lineage: Eukaryota; Metazoa; Chordata; Aves; Passeriformes; Passerellidae
Source: RefSeq, a predicted model, not a curated record